UACGUAGGCAGCAAGCGUUGUUCGGAAUUACUGGGCGUAAAGAGUGUGUAGGCGGUGCUCCAAGUCUGGCCUGAAAGCCCCCGGCUCAACCGGGGAAGGUGGCUGGAAACUGGCGUUCUUGAGGGCGACAGAGGAGAGUGGAAUUCCUGGUGUAGCGGUGAAAUGCGUAGAUAUCAGGAGGAACACCCAUGGCGAAGGCAGCUCUCUGGGUCGGACCUGACGCUGAGGCGCGAAAGCGUGGGGAGCGAACGGG
RNAcentral lists this ribosomal RNA (253 nucleotides) under uncultured bacterium. RNAcentral describes it as "partial 16S ribosomal RNA". It matches the Rfam family "Bacterial small subunit ribosomal RNA", at positions 524 to 776 of the family's 1533-position model. The record is from RNAcentral.